GCACCAUCCUUUGCGCCGUCUUUAGCAGCAGACGCUGGUGGAGGUUGCAUCAUGUGCGGUGGAGGAGCGUGCUUCAGCUUCACUAAGAUCUGGCGCAUUCGUGAGAGGUCUGUCGGCUUGCCAGGCUUAGGGCCCUGAAUGACUGUGAUGGAUGGCUUCUUGUCCUUGUCCUUCUUUCCCCGCUUCUCAAUGGUAGCUAUUUCAUGUGGGAUGAGCUCCGAUAUCGACUUCCAGUACUGCUUGUCUGCUUCGGCAUGGAAUUUCUCCUGGCCAGCUACGAAAAUCUUCUCUCUUUCUCUGUUAUGGACCUUGUUUGUCUCACAGUUCUGUAUCCUCUUCUCAUAGAAAGCCUUCUUAAACUCUUCGGCUUCAGCAAGUAUCUGGGCCCGUAGCUCCUUCUC
RNAcentral lists this small RNA (401 nucleotides) under Oryza sativa Japonica Group (Japanese rice). RNAcentral's name for it is "sRNA OsRLCK172". The record is from RNAcentral. Lineage: Eukaryota; Viridiplantae; Streptophyta; Magnoliopsida; Poales; Poaceae.